UGUUUUCUCUCAGGCUGGCAUUG
This 23-nucleotide non-coding RNA is filed under the name Gallus gallus (chicken). The record is from RNAcentral. RNAcentral also lists the same sequence under 1 other name. Lineage: Eukaryota; Metazoa; Chordata; Aves; Galliformes; Phasianidae.